RNAcentral lists this transfer RNA (77 nucleotides) under Pseudomonadota bacterium. RNAcentral describes it as "tRNA-Arg". It matches the Rfam family "tRNA". From Rfam's summary of the family: Transfer RNA (tRNA) molecules are approximately 80 nucleotides in length. Their secondary structure includes four short double-helical elements and three loops (D, anti-codon, and T loops). Further hydrogen bonds mediate the characteristic L-shaped molecular structure. tRNAs have two regions of fundamental functional importance: the anti-codon, which is responsible for specific mRNA codon recognition, and the 3' end, to which the tRNAs corresponding amino acid is attached (by aminoacyl-tRNA synthetases). tRNAs cope with the degeneracy of the genetic code in two manners: having more than one tRNA (with a specific anti-codon) for a particular amino acid; and 'wobble' base-pairing, i.e. permitting non-standard base-pairing at the 3rd anti-codon position. RNAcentral also lists the same sequence under 4 other names. The record is from RNAcentral. Lineage: Bacteria; Pseudomonadati; Pseudomonadota.
GCGCCUGUAGCUCAGCUGGAUAGAGCAUCGGACUUCUAAUCCGAGGGUCCCGGGUUCGAAUCCCUGCAGGCGCGCCA